UACGUAGGGGGCAAGCGUUGUCCGGAAUCAUUGGGCGUAAAGCGCGUGUAGGUGGUUCGGUAAGUCGGGUGUUAAACCCCCAGGCUCAACCUGGGGACGCCACUCGAUACUGCUGUGACUAGAGUCCGGUAGGGGAGCGCGGAAUUCCUGGUGUAGCGGUGAAAUGCGCAGAUAUCAGGAGGAACACCAGCGGCGAAGGCGGCGCUCUGGGCCGGUACUGACACUGAGGAGCGAAAGCGUGGGUAGCAAACAGG
This 254-nucleotide ribosomal RNA is filed under the name uncultured bacterium. RNAcentral describes it as "partial 16S ribosomal RNA". It matches the Rfam family "Bacterial small subunit ribosomal RNA", at positions 524 to 776 of the family's 1533-position model. The record is from RNAcentral.